Molecule: long non-coding RNA, 2966 nt
Organism: Eriocheir sinensis (Chinese mitten crab)
Lineage: Eukaryota; Metazoa; Arthropoda; Malacostraca; Decapoda; Varunidae
Exons: 2
Source: RefSeq, a predicted model, not a curated record
AAAGGAAGUGGUGACCGGUUGUACGAGGAGAGUCAAACCUCGCUGGCGGCCCCCGGACACUGUGCUUAUGUACGACGGUCCUACGGCACUGAUGGCCUGGGCGUUAGUUACCGGGGUGAUACUCUGGCUGUUGUGUUCCGGUCCUGUUACUAGUGUUGGCAUUGUGGUGUUGUGUGUUGCGAUUUUCUUACUAGUGUUGGUGUUGUAGGUGUUUGUUAAUGUGUUCCGAUCCUGUUACUAGUGUUGACGUAACUGUUGUGUGUUCCGAUCCUGUUGCUAGUGUUGACAUUGUGGUGUUGUGUGUUGCGAUUUUCUUACUAGUGUUGGUGUUGUAGGUGUUUGUUAAUGUGUUCCAAUCCUGUUACUAGUGUUGACGUAACUGUUGUGUGUUCCGAUCCUGUUACUAGUGUUGGCAUUGUGGCUGUUGUGUGUUCCAAUCCUGUUAUUAGUGUUCCUAUUUCCGAUGUUGUUACUCUGGCUGUUGAAGUGUGUUCCAAUCCCCUUACUAGUGUUGGUGUUGUGGUGUUGUGUGUUCUGAACCUGUUACUACUGUUGUUAUUUCUGGUCCUAAUACUCUCAUUUUUGUUGUUAUUUUUUAUCCUAUUGCUAGUGUUGUUGUUGUGGUUGUGGUUUCCAAUCCUAUAACUCCACUUCUUGUUGUAGUUUCCGAUCCUAUUGCUAGUGUUGUUGUGGUUUCCAAUCCUAUAACUCCACUUCUUGUUGUGGUUUCUGAUCCUAUUGUUAGUGUUGUUGUUUUGGUUGUAGCUUCUGAUCCUAUGACUCCACUUCUUGUUGUAGUUUCCGAUCCUAUUAGUAGUGUUGUUGUUUUGGAUGUAGUUUCUGAUACUAUAAAUCCACUUCUUGUUGUGGUUUCAAAUCCUAUUGCUAAUGUUGUUGUUUUGAUUGUAGUUUCCGAUCCUAUAACUCCAUUUCUUGUUGUGGUUUCAAAUCCUAUACCUCCUCUUCUUGUUGUGGUUUCAAAUCCUAUAACUCCACUUCUUGUUGUGGUUUCAAAUCCUAUUGCUAAUGUUGUUGUUUUGAUUGUAGUUUCCGAUCCUAUAACUCCAUUUCUUGUUGUAGUUUCCGAUCCUAUAACUCCACUUCUUGUUGUGGUUUCAAAUCCUAUAACUCCACUUCUUGUUGUGGUUUCUGAUCCUAUUGUUAGUGUUGUUGUUUUGGUUGAAGUUUCCGAUCCUAUAACUCCACUUUUUGUUGUAGUUUCCGAUCCUAUAACUCCACUUCUUGUUGUAGUUUCCGACCCUGUAACUCCAUUUCUUCCUGUGUUGUCUGAUGCUAACGCUAAAGUUGUUGUUGUUGUUGUUAUUUCCGAUGUUUAUACUACUCAGGUUGUCACUGUGUGGGUUGUUACAAGCACUAACACUAUUGCCUCUACUACUACGACUAUUAACCUGCUUGCUGUGUUGUUACUAUGAAAACUACUGCUGCUAAUGUUUCUCUGUGGCUGUUAAUAGCACCUCUUCUACUACUACUACUACUACUACUAUUGCUACUACUAUUCUUGUUGUUGUUGUUGUUGCUAUGUCUAUGCAAGCCACACCUGACGGGGCGAGAAACAGGGCCAGGAAGGGAGCUGUGAUGCGGGGGAAAACAGAGUCAAUAACCUUUAAAUAACUCAUGUAUUAACUGUGAAUCAUUAGUUAUUUAAGGUUAUUGAUCUCUCUGUUUUCCCCUGCAUUACAGAGUGUACAUCAAGACCUUUCCCUGGCGCACGGCCCGGGAAAGGUCCGUCCUUGACCCCCUUCCUUGGUCCUGUCCCGCCCUUGUUAGAGGAACACUGUGGCUCACGUAACACAGAAGCAAACCGUCACACGCCAGGCAGCACUCUGGGGGUUAAGGGAGCGAGGUUUGACCCGGUAGAGUCUGGUUGUCAGCGGCACACCACACACACACACUACACCAAACCGGCGGCCCUGUAUGGAACUAAGACAUAGAGGGACAUUUAAUACACUGUGAAUGUUCUCAUCACCCUGGACAUGGAAAUUAGGUUAUUUAGGUGAGUAAUUAGUCUACAAUUUUGAAGGUUGGAAAGUUUUGUUUAGUCGGCGCAACAUCUGUGGUCAUAUGCUGGAGAGAGACAGGAGGGGAAGGAAUUAUAGGAGAAAGGAACAGUUGGAAAGUUUCAUUUAGUCGGCGCAACAUCUGUGGUCAUAUGCCGGAGAGAGACAGGAGGGGAAGGAAUUAUAGGAGAAGGGAACAGUUGGAAAGUUUGGUUUAGUCGGCACAACAUCUGUGGUCAUAUGCUGGAGAGAGACAGAAGGGGAAGGAAUUAUAGGAGAAGGGAACAGAUCCCAGGAGACAGGACACAACCCCUGAUUAAUACCUGGUACCCAUUCACUGCUGGGUGGACAGGGGUGUAGGGUAUCGGAAAAGCCCAAAUUUUUCCACUCCGCCCGGGAAUCGAACCCGGGCUCUCUCGGUUGUGAGCUGAGUGUGCUAACCACUGCACCACGAUACCCCCCUAGAAUUUUGAUUAUGUAAGAUUAUAGUGCCAAAUGAAACUGCUCCUGUAAAUACUGUAUGGCAGAAUAAUGAUAAAAGAAUUGUUCAAGUGAGGAAUUUGAUCACACCAAGACUAAUUGAGUGAAAACUAUGGAAAUUCUAAGGCAGUUCUAAGAAGUGUCCGCCCAUCCACUGGACCAGGAAACAAUUCACACAUUAACUACCACCCCGAGAUAUUAGUGAGCUACUCAACCACGGCUCAACCACGGGCUUGUCCUGAGGAGAGGCAGAGCUUACGUCAAGGGGGGACUGCAGGAAGGGUCGGGGAAAACAUUGCCUUUGCUUUCCUGCGACUGAUACUGUUAUAAUGGAUUUGAGAGAACAGCCCAGGCCUACAGCAAAACCAUAUUGUCGAGUCCAUUUUGGCACUGGCUCCCGCGGGUCAAUUUCUCCCCUUUGCUCUGCCAUAGUCCCAACACCUAGUUUUUCCUCUCAUAUUUUUUUUU